CUCCUGGUGGCAGCAAAUUAAAGUCUGAAGCCUUGGAAAAGGUUGAUCCUCUGCCAGUCCUCGAUGUUACUGCUAUCUACAUCAAAGAGGAACCUAGGGAUGAAACUGAAGAAGUAUACAUCAAAGAGGAACCAUUCGUAUUUGGAAAUGUGGCCUCUUCGAAUCAAUAUCUUCCUGGUUUACCAUGCAAGACAGAAGCUAAACUUGAGGCUCAUGACACCCACCCAAACUCCUCUCAAAACAUUUCUGCAUUGUUCUCGAAUCAGCUUGGCAAAGGUGGGUCAGCGCCAGCAUCAGGAGACGCUGCUGGCAGCGCUGGCGUCUCUGGGGUGUUCAGCUCCAAGCAACACAUGGAAAAAUCAUUCAAGUUCCAUGACUGUGAACAAUUGGGUACCACAAGAAAAUCAAUGCCAGAGCAUAUUAACUACAAAAAUUUGUGCAGAAAUGAGCACCAAUGCCAGUUUUGUUUGAAUUUGUGUGCCACUGAAGCUGAUCUCAAACAACAUAUUCUCCUACAUCAUCCUCAGAGAAAUGUGCAGAAAUGCUCUCAAAGUAAAUGUGCUGAUGGUUGCAAAGAAAUCUUGCACAAGCAUUGCCUUUCCAAACAUUCAUUAAUAAAGAAAUAUUGCUGCUCUGAGUGUGAUUAUGCUUGCACCACAAAAUGGGCCUUGAAAAGUCAUUGUCUUUUCAAGCAUUCAACAGAAAAAACUUUUCAGUGCACCAAGUGUAAUUAUGCAUGCGCUAUGAAAGGGGUCUUAAAAAAACAUUUUCUUUCCAAACACUCUAAAGAAAAACUUCUUCAGUGCUCUGAGUGUGAUUAUACAUGCACUACAGAAGGUCACCUGAAAAGACAUUUUCUUUACAAACAUUCAACAGAAAAACCUAAUCAGUGCCCUGAGUGUGAUUAUGCUUGCAUUACAAAAGGGCAAUUGAAAAGACAUUCUCUUUACAAACAUUCAACAGAGAAACCUGUAAAAUGUUCCGAGUGUGAUUAUG
Molecule: long non-coding RNA, 996 nt
Organism: Hyalella azteca
Lineage: Eukaryota; Metazoa; Arthropoda; Malacostraca; Amphipoda; Hyalellidae
Exons: 4
Source: RefSeq, a predicted model, not a curated record